GUUGGAGGAGUACAUAAACAAGCCUGUGGGGCAGCCCCCACCCCCGCCCCACCCCCACAAGAGCUGGAGGGAAAAGACUGGGAAGCAGGAUGAGAGAACAAGCUGGUCUGAAACCAGUUCCCACCUCCUCUCAGGGGAGGACAACACUCUGCUCUUUCUCUCCAGUCAUUUCUAUUCACACAAGACAAAGCAGAUAAUGAAAAGCAAAAACCCAUCGAGAAAAGCUUCUACUUAAGAAAAAAGGCAACAAAAGGCUUAAUCUUGUUAAAAUCUACCCCUGCUAAGAAGGCAUUUACAGGGAAAACAACCUCCACAGCGGAACAAAAACUCAAGAACAUCCUAGGUUUUAGGAAGUAGAAUCAUCUGGUAUCAUGGUAUAUUGCUGAAUAUUUGGAAAUAGAAAAGCAUAGAGUUUACUUUGAAAUUCUUUUAUAUACUUCCACCAGUGUUGACAGAGAAGCCGAUUUGUUGAAAAUCCCCCUCCGUGUUUCAAGUUGGAAUACAUUACUAGACUCAUUGACUGAAAACGUUUUCAUGAUUGUUUAAAUUUAGAUUUUUUAGAGAUUACUUCAUCAAAGAACUGUUGACCAAAUGGUAAAUUUAAUCAGGUUUCCACUGAAAAUGCACAAUCUCAAUGAAUCAUAACAGAACAAUAUAUAGGCAGACAAUGGCCUCACAUUGUACUAACAUAUGGGUCCUUGUAAUCAAAUUGUUACAGUUUAAUGAGCCCAAAGAUUCGCAGGAUGCUUUACUGUUUCCUGAAAGUGACAAACUCUUGAUGGAGUAGGACUUCAGAGCAAACGUACUAAACAUGAGCACUCUGGCAGUUUCAGGAGUAAGACACGCUGUGUUCAGUAGCGCCUGCUCAGCACUCAAGGUGCUUUUCACUGUAUGCCCCUCUUAUUCAAGGAUGUGAUUACUACCCUGUGUGAACUCUUCAGCCUAGCAUGCAAAGCCUUCUUACCAGUUUUCAUCCUCUAGAAGGCUUCCUUUCCUCGACUCUCCUACUAGGCCCCUCAGAACUAUCAGAACAAUGUGUGGCUUUUUCCUACAGAGAACCUACCUUUCUUGCCUGCACAUUUCACAGUAUGCCAUCCCUUUUCUCCUUUAAUUUGUGCCAGCCUACCUUCCCUUUCACAAUUUGACAUGUAUUUUUCUAAUAAACAAAAAACAAAAACCCUUCAUAAUUAAUUCCAUGUGGCUCUUCAAACCUCUAUUUACCUCUGCUUUCUCUUUGUUGUGCUACUAUUUUUAAGACUUUGGCCCAUCCAUUUAAAUUCAUUAUGGCUCUAUAUUGAGAAUAAUGCUAAUGCUACUUUCCUAGUGGAUUUGUUGCCAUGAUUAAACAAGACAAUGCAUGUAAAGUACUUAGAACAGGGCUGACAUAUGGUAAAGUCUUGAUAAAUACCAUACUAAAGCAAAUACUUACGUAAGUGGCUGACUCUCUUCUAAGCCUUUCCUUGUGUUUAAUUCACCCAUAAUACCUCUUUUCAGGAGGCACUUAUAGAACUCUCCAGAUAGAGAGAAUACUGAAACCUAUGUCCCUCAUCAGUUAGAAUGUCUUAAGUCAGAUGGAUUUCUUUUCAUUCUCAAGCUAUUUGAAUUUUUAGAUCUUUUUAGGUAUUAGAUGAUGUUAAAUUGUUGCUGGUUGUUAAUUUCAGCACAAAUACUAGUUUAGGAUGCAAUCCAUUGUUGGCACUUAGAACAGUGCCUGGCAUGCAGGGGGCACUCAGUAAAUGUUGUUACUAUUAUCAUUAUUGCCGUGUUAUGAGUGUCUGGGGUUUCUCACUCUUUCUGUUCCCCUGAAUUCAAUAAUUAAAUUGCAUUUAAAAAUAAUGUCCAAAAUGCCUUUUAAAACAUUCCAGAAUAUAUUCAUUAACUUAAAAACAAGUCAGUGAUAUCCUAGAGAUUAUUGUGUCUACAUCACUUAAAGUUUCUACAUUGAUGACAUCCUAAUUUUUGAGAUAACUUUUUUAAAUUGGCAAAGCUAACAGAAAGUGAAGCAUCCUACCAGAUGUUUUAAUUAAAAUAUUUUAGCACAUCCAUGAAAAUCUUCAAAAUCAAUUCACUAAGUACUCAGAAAGCAACCAC
Long non-coding RNA from Equus asinus (donkey), 2091 nucleotides. The record is from Ensembl. NCBI's taxonomy places the organism in Eukaryota, Metazoa, Chordata, Mammalia, Perissodactyla, Equidae.